CCUACGGGAGGCUGCAGUGAGGAAUAUUGGUCAAUGGGCGCGAGCCUGAACCAGCAAAGUAGCGUGAAGGAUGACUGCCCUACGGGUUGUAAACUUCUUUUAUAAAGGAAUAAAGUGAGGCACGUGUGCCUUUUUGUAUGUACUUUAUGAAUAAGGAUCGGCUAAAUCCGUGCCAGCAGCCGCGGUAAUACGGAGGGUCUGAGCGUUAUCCGGGUAUAUUGGGUGUAAAGGGAGCGUAGUUGGGUUGUUAAGUCAGUCGUGAAAGUUUGCGGCUCAACCGUAAAAUUGCAAUUGAUACUGGCAGUCUUGAGUACAGUUGAGGUAGGCGGAAUUCGUGGUGUAGCGGUGAAAUGCGUAGAUAUCACGAAGAACUCCGAUUGCGAAGGCAGCUUACUAAACUGCCACUGACAUUGAUGCUCGAAAGUGUGGGUAUCAAACAGGAUUAGAUACCCGAGUAGUC
Molecule: ribosomal RNA, 460 nt
Filed under: uncultured bacterium
Lineage: Bacteria
Description: partial 16S ribosomal RNA
Rfam family: Bacterial small subunit ribosomal RNA
Source: RNAcentral